UGCCCAGGGCGGGUGAGGACCCUGCACACACACGGUGUGUUUGUGAGCUGUGCAGAGUGGGGUCUCCCUGGCAAUGGCCACAGCCUCCAGGGGCGCUGACACCUCCCGUCUAACUGGUAGACAGUUUCUGCCUCUUCUUGUUUGGGGAUUGGAGAGGGAAGUGCGUCUGGAUGACUACUAAGAUGAGGAGGCUAAGGCCUAGUGCUCCCAGGGGGCUUGGUCAAGAGCAGGAGGCAGAGGUGGUGGAAGGCUGUUUCCCUGCGGGCAGAUGAGCCUCGUCCGAUCAGUUCACAGCUUGAGAGAAAAAGACUGGUCUCCCCAGAAGGACGUCUGCAGCUCUUCCCAGCGUCCCCAGCCUGUCCACCUGCCUCAGUCAGUCAUGGCCUUGCCCUCCUCCACAGUCACGUGAGCCCAUUCCUUAAAACAAAU
Molecule: long non-coding RNA, 429 nt
Filed under: Pan troglodytes (chimpanzee)
Lineage: Eukaryota; Metazoa; Chordata; Mammalia; Primates; Hominidae
Description: long non-coding RNA NONPTRT007614
Source: RNAcentral